AUGGUCGUCUUGGUGACUUGGACAAUUUGGAAUGAGCGCAACAGUAGAGUAUUUGAUAACAAAGCUAGCUCCAUUGAUCGUAUCUUGGACAAAAUCAAAGGCGACGCACUCAACUGGUCUAAAGCGGGCGCUAAAUGCCUGAGGUCGUUGUUCUCCUAGGAUCGCUUGCCUUUUGCCUUUUUGUUGAUGUUGGGUCGUCUUUGUACUCUAAGACUUUGUAUCUCUUUUCUUCUAUAUUGUCACAUGCAGUUCUCCUGCAUGGUUCGAAAAAAAAGCUUACCGGAAGGUACGCCGAAAACUCACUUGUCUGGAUUGAGCUUAAUGUUAAACGCACACAGAUUUUCGAAGGUCUCGCGUAGAUCGUCUAUGAGGGUGUCAGCUUCUUGGUCUUGA
This 393-nucleotide ribosomal RNA is filed under the name Triticum aestivum (bread wheat). RNAcentral's name for it is "partial small subunit ribosomal RNA". Lineage: Eukaryota; Viridiplantae; Streptophyta; Magnoliopsida; Poales; Poaceae. The record is from RNAcentral.